GAUGAACGCUAGCGGGAGGCUUAACACAUGCAAGUCGAGGGGCAGCAUAGGGUAGCAAUACUCUGAUGGCGACCGGCAAACGGGUGAGUAACGCGUAUGCAACCUACCCUGUACAGGGGGAUAACCCGGAGAAAUUCGGACUAAUAUCCCGUAAUAAUAUCCGGAGGCAUCUUUGGAUAUUUAAAGUUCCGACGGUACGGGAUGGGGCAUGCGUAACAUUAGCUGGUUGGUAAGGUAACGGCUUACCAAGGCUAUGAUGUUUAGGGGUCCUGAGAGGGUGGUCCCCCACACUGGUACUGAGACACGGACCAGACUCCUACGGGAGGCAGCAGUGAGGAAUAUUGGUCAAUGGGCGCAAGCCUGAACCAGCCAUCCCGCGUGCAGGAAGACGGCCCUAUGGGUUGUAAACUGCUUUUCCAGGGAGAGAAACUUACGCACGUGUUGCGUGACUGACGGUACCCUGGGAAUAAGCAUCGGCUAACUCCGUGCCAGCAGCCGCGGUAAACCGAGAGUA
This 514-nucleotide ribosomal RNA is filed under the name uncultured bacterium. Its description in RNAcentral is "bacterial SSU rRNA". It matches the Rfam family "Bacterial small subunit ribosomal RNA", at positions 28 to 533 of the family's 1533-position model. The record is from RNAcentral.